CUCUCUGUAGCUCAGUUGGUUAGAGCUCGACAACUGUCUCUCUGUAGCUCAGUUGGUUAGAGCUCGACAACUGUCUCUCUGUAGCUCAGUUGGUUAGAGCUCGACAACUGUCUCUCUGUAGCUCAGUUGGUUAGAGCACUGCACCGGGAUCGCUGGGCCGCAGGUUCGAUUCCUGCCAGAGGGCCUAUAGUUGCAUUUUUGGCAUCUGUUCCUGGUUAUGUCUAAACUUGAAUAUAAUUCCAUCUACAAAAAUCCUUCGUACGUUAAUUCUAUAUUGAGCGAGAUGGCCAAAAAAUCUCGAUAUAUACGUUAUUUCACGUCAAAAAUCAUUUUCCAAAAAUACAUCAGCCUAUGUUGCGUCCUGGUGACUAUCGUCCUAGCCCUGGGCGUGAUCAUAGAAGAAUCAACAAACGCUGCAUUGAUACAUGGCUAUUUGAAGGAAGAUUCAUACUGCGAGAAAGAAGCAGUCUCCUCUUAUCGCAAGAAAGAUUGUUACAAGCUCAAAAACGCGAAUCCCUGGUAUUAUAUCUUGCUGUACGCAACUGAUCUUGUGUUGGCGCUCUGUUCCUUCGUGAUGUUGCUACUGUUUGCGGACUGGAUUUUGUUUGUUGCACUGGUAAGAUUAACAAACUGUACUGUUUAUUGCACUAUUGGCCCAACGAUAUAAUUUUGAACGCUGUGCCAGUUCGAAACGUCGAAGUUCUCCUUGUAUUUUUCAGGUAGUUGUAUCCCUAUAUCAAUCCGAAGCUUUGGUUUCUUUCCAAAUGGCUUCGUUUUUAUUUCCUCAUGUUCGUAUACAGUAUAGGGCUUUUCAUAAUUUCAUUUGUGUGAAAUGAUGACGCAUUAAUUUGUAUUUAUGCAUAUGAUACAUAACUGAAUUCGCUGGAGGAGGUAUGCAGUCUCCAAGUGUCCUUUAUAGUUUAAUUUAUAAAAACAAAUUGUUAUUAUGGCCUCUCUAUCUUCCCACUGGAAUUUUUUUCAAAAUCCAUGGAACUUAGUUGAAAAUAGUAUCGAAAUCCAAUUUUCAUACUGAUGACAAUUUUCAUACUAUGGUAUAAGUAUGGAAAAAAUGGACGACUUGCGCUUUAGAAAAAAUUUUAAUCUGGGAAUAACAAAGGAUAUUUUCGGAAAAAGUUAUCCAAAUUAGAAAAACUCCAAAGUUUGGUGGCGAAAUGCUGUAAAAUACGGAAAAUAUAGCAUUUCACAAAUAUAACAUUUCUAUUACGUGCGGAAAUUGGUAACUAAUUUAGUUACCAAUUCACGCACGUAAUACAAAAGUAUACAAAUUUGCCAACUUUGAAGGGCUAUAUUUUCCGUAUUUUACAACAUUUCGCAACCAAACUUUGUAAUAUUACUAAUUCCAAGACGCUCUUUCUAGCUGCGGUGAUAGAUUUCGUUGUUCUUACUUAGAUUAAAAUUUAGUCUAAAGCGCAAGUCGUCCAUUCCCGAGUAUGAAUUUCACUAUUUUUUUCCAGUGUGUAAUGUUGAACAGUACCUAUUUUACGUAACAUUUUCAGAAAACGCAACUUAACGACCUAGUGGCACAGGAAGUCCCUCCACCGUACCAGCAAACGUCGAAUACUCAACCAGGAAAUCACAACGAAAUAUCAAUGUAUCCAUAAAUGCUCAUGCAGCUCAACUGAAAACUCUUGAGUGUGGAUGCGAGAAUUUUCAUUGGCAAUUUAUAAUUUAAUUACAUGCAUGUAUGUGUUUGCUUCUGGACGUAAUACCACAGAAUAGAGACUUUACAGAAGGCCGACUCAACUGAUGCCAUGAUGCGUCAUCAAAAUGCACUUGCCAUGUUCCUAGCUAGUGUGCGUACGAAAGGUAUUCACUCCCCUGAACAUCCACCAUUUUGAGGGGUUUUUUCAGCAGGGUGCAUGAAUGCCUGUCCUAAACGCACGAGCUAGGAACAUGGCGACGUAACGGUUAGGCCAAAAUCAUGAAGUCGACCUUCUGUAAGGUCUCUAUUCUGUGGUAAUACGCUACACGCGUGUUUCAUAUAUAAUAGCACGGUUGUCCUGUAUUUUUAUGUUCUCCUUUUACUCUAUUGUGAAUUUAACGUUUAAAAUUAAAAGAACUUACUUAAACGCUUUCAGCAGCAUACCCUGUUGCCUGUUGGCUAUUCUCUUUUACAUUCGUAGUUUAUAAACUUGCGACUGUUGUGCGGGCAUUUUGUUUAUUUAUGUACGUAGCCGGCCGGGGAGGGCAACAAAUUUUCACUGGUUGCCCGGCGGAAAACAUUGCAUUUCUAAAGC
This 2258-nucleotide long non-coding RNA is filed under the name Paramuricea clavata. The stretch from base 112 to 184 matches the Rfam family "tRNA". Lineage: Eukaryota; Metazoa; Cnidaria; Anthozoa; Malacalcyonacea; Plexauridae. The record is from RNAcentral.